This 192-nucleotide ribosomal RNA is filed under the name uncultured bacterium. Its description in RNAcentral is "partial 16S ribosomal RNA". It matches the Rfam family "Bacterial small subunit ribosomal RNA", at positions 1309 to 1500 of the family's 1533-position model. The record is from RNAcentral.
AACUCGAGUGCAUGAAGCUGGAAUCGCUAGUAAUCGCGGAUCAGAAUGCCGCGGUGAAUACGUUCCCGGGUCUUGUACACACCGCCCGUCACACCAUGGGAGUCGGGAAUGCCCGAAGCCGGUGGCCCGAUCGAGAGAAGGGAGCCGUCGAAGGCAGGCCGGAUGACUGGGGUGAAGUCGUAACAAGGUAAC